UACGACGGGUACGGGUUGUGAGAGCAAGAGCCCGGAGAUGGAUUCUGAGACACGAAUCCAGGCCCUACGGGGUGCAGCCAGGCGCGAAAACUUUACAAUGCUGGCAACAGCGAUAAGGGAACCUCGAGUGCCAGGUUACAAAUCUGGCUGUCGAGAUGCCUAAAAAGCAUUUCAUAGCAAGGGCCGGGCAAGACCGGUGCCAGCCGCCGCGGUAACACCGGCGGCUCGAGUGGUAACCGUUAUUAUUGGGUCUAAAGGGUCUGUAGCCGGCCGGAUAAGUCUCUUGAGAAAUCUGGCAGCUUAACUGUCAGGCUUUCAGGAGAUACUGUCUGGCUCGAGGCCGGGAGAGGUGAGAGGUACUUCAGGGGUAGGGGUGAAAUCUUGUAAUCCUUGAAGGACCACCAGUGGCGAAGGCGUCUCACCAGAACGGACCUGACGGCAAGGGACGAAAGCUAGGGGCACGAACCGGAUUAGAUACCCGGGUAGUCCUAGCCGUAAACGAUACUCGCUAGGUGUCGGCCACGGUGCGACCGUUGUCGGUGCCGUAGGGAAGCCGUGAAGCGAGC
RNAcentral lists this ribosomal RNA (566 nucleotides) under uncultured archaeon. RNAcentral describes it as "bacterial SSU rRNA". It matches the Rfam family "Archaeal small subunit ribosomal RNA", at positions 259 to 824 of the family's 1478-position model. The record is from RNAcentral.